GCCGGUGUAGCUCAAAUGCAGAGCGGCCGAGACUGUAACUCGGCAGAUGGGGCGUUCAAAUCCCCCCGCCGGCUCCA
RNAcentral lists this transfer RNA (77 nucleotides) under Terriglobia bacterium. Its description in RNAcentral is "tRNA-Tyr". It matches the Rfam family "tRNA". From Rfam's summary of the family: Transfer RNA (tRNA) molecules are approximately 80 nucleotides in length. Their secondary structure includes four short double-helical elements and three loops (D, anti-codon, and T loops). Lineage: Bacteria; Pseudomonadati; Acidobacteriota; Terriglobia. The record is from RNAcentral.